RNAcentral lists this ribosomal RNA (463 nucleotides) under Escherichia coli. RNAcentral describes it as "partial 23S ribosomal RNA". It matches the Rfam family "Bacterial large subunit ribosomal RNA", at positions 2261 to 2723 of the family's 2925-position model. RNAcentral also lists the same sequence under 2 other names. Lineage: Bacteria; Pseudomonadati; Pseudomonadota; Gammaproteobacteria; Enterobacterales; Enterobacteriaceae. The record is from RNAcentral.
GUGGGUAGUUUGACUGGGGCGGUCUCCUCCUAAAGAGUAACGGAGGAGCACGAAGGUUGGCUAAUCCUGGUCGGACAUCAGGAGGUUAGUGCAAUGGCAUAAGCCAGCUUGACUGCGAGCGUGACGGCGCGAGCAGGUGCGAAAGCAGGUCAUAGUGAUCCGGUGGUUCUGAAUGGAAGGGCCAUCGCUCAACGGAUAAAAGGUACUCCGGGGAUAACAGGCUGAUACCGCCCAAGAGUUCAUAUCGACGGCGGUGUUUGGCACCUCGAUGUCGGCUCAUCACAUCCUGGGGCUGAAGUAGGUCCCAAGGGUAUGGCUGUUCGCCAUUUAAAGUGGUACGCGAGCUGGGUUUAGAACGUCGUGAGACAGUUCGGUCCCUAUCUGCCGUGGGCGCUGGAGAACUGAGGGGGGCUGCUCCUAGUACGAGAGGACCGGAGUGGACGCAUCACUGGUGUUCGGGUUG